AGCAGCAUGAGAGGCAGCUCCACACGGCAAGGUCAGUAAAUCAAUAAAUAUAUCCUUUAGACUGAUAUGGUUGUUUUACAGGAUGUUUUUUGUUUUGCAGGUAUGAUUCUGUCGCUUCGGCCAGAAUCGGAUCUAUUUUGUCGCUUUGGCCUUAAUGAUCUCGACCCACCUUGUCGCUUUGGCCUCGGUGGGGUAACCGUCGUUGCGGACAUAAAGUCGCUCUUGAUCAAGGUGGACUAUAAACAUCAGUUGUGAUAGUGAACUAGAUUCUGUCGUUUCGGCCAGAAUCAGAUUCUAAUUAUGAAUCCACGCAUUCUAUCGCUUCGGCCAGAAUCAAGCUCUGAUAGCGAGUCAGUCCAUUUUGUCGCUUUGGUCUUAAUGGACGAGAAUUAUUUUGUCGCUUUGGCCUUAAUAAUUCCCUCUCAUCUUGUCGCUUUGGCCUUGAUGAUGACACAGCAAAAGUCGCUCCUGAUCAGAGUUGGACUAUAAACACGUAGUUCCGUUGCCCUGGAACUAGAUUCUGAUAGAUAACGGGGUCAUUGUGUCGUUGUGGCCGCAAUGAUUCGAUCCCAUCUUAUCGUUUUGGCCUUGAUGCGGAUCACCUUGCUUGGGGGGGUACUGGCAAUACACGCAUGUUUCUUGUACUCUCUUCAGGGGGGAGUACUGGUGAGACAUGCCUGAUUAUGUUAGUCACUCCCAGCAACGCCCCUCAACAAGGACUAGGGUUCCGUCGCUUUACGCCGGACCCCCG
RNAcentral lists this long non-coding RNA (751 nucleotides) under Zostera marina. RNAcentral describes it as "long non-coding RNA (ZMAR_LNC000976)". The record is from RNAcentral. Lineage: Eukaryota; Viridiplantae; Streptophyta; Magnoliopsida; Alismatales; Zosteraceae.